Molecule: non-coding RNA, 476 nt
Organism: Cyanistes caeruleus (blue tit)
Lineage: Eukaryota; Metazoa; Chordata; Aves; Passeriformes; Paridae
Source: RefSeq, a predicted model, not a curated record
GACCGUCCCUGUGCAGGGGACGUUCUGUCACUGCCCCCAGCCCGGCUGCCGCGUGUCGCUGGGGCACCGGCCGCGUCCGUGCGCGCCUCAGCCCUGGCGCUGGGAAUUGCACAGCGGGACGUGGCGUUGUGCUCCCCAGGCAAAGCUCCAUGUCCCGCCCCGUGCCAGCAGCGCGGUGGUGCUCGAAACAGAGCCCAGGGCAGGCACCUGGGCUCCGCUGCCGUGUCUGCCCUGGGGGUGAAAUGCAGCAGCGGGAAGGAAGGUGGUUCUGAUACAUGUAACAGUCACGGACCAGCCUGAGGUUUUCAGGAACCUUAUGCUAAUAAAAUAAGAACAGAAAAAUGACAUUAAGGAAAGUGAACAUUUCCAUCCUUAUAGUGGCUGUUGUCAUAUUUUUGCUAGUUAUUCAUCAUAACUUCCUAAGCCUUAGUGACUUCUUGAGACGGGAAUUGUCAGGUAUGUUGGAUUUUAUUUUA